GGCCGUUUCUGGCCAAAUUCGGCCACACUCGCAUCGGUCCCUGUGAGAAAACAACCCUAGGGCCCUCGGGGGGCCAAAAAAUCACGAAAAAAUGGAGCUUACCGGCGGCGGCACUCUCGGGUGCGGCGGCUCUCCGGCGAGGUUCGUGUUUUGGUGAUUCGGCUCUGGUCAACCUGUAGAGAAAAGAAUGGUGAUCACGGUGAUAUAAAAAUUGCAUCAAACGGAGGCCGGGAAGGGCCUCAUCGGAGGCAAAAACCGAGAAGGGGCGCGGCGGCGCCGCUGGGCUUCGGCCGUGUAUUCCGGCCGUUUAGCCAGGAUUUUGGCUCCGAUUUGGCCACAGGAGGAAUCAGCGUGGAAAAACGAGUCGGGGGUACGAAAUUUACCUCGAUCGGCGGUCGAAAAUUCCUCCGAUGCGGCGGCAAGUGGCGGCGGCCGGCUUCUGGUUCGUCUUCUCCGGCGAGCGGCAGGCGGCUAGGG
RNAcentral lists this long non-coding RNA (477 nucleotides) under Carica papaya (papaya). RNAcentral's name for it is "long non-coding RNA (CPAP_LNC000461)". Lineage: Eukaryota; Viridiplantae; Streptophyta; Magnoliopsida; Brassicales; Caricaceae. The record is from RNAcentral.